This 467-nucleotide ribosomal RNA is filed under the name uncultured bacterium. RNAcentral's name for it is "bacterial SSU rRNA". It matches the Rfam family "Bacterial small subunit ribosomal RNA", at positions 338 to 795 of the family's 1533-position model. The record is from RNAcentral.
CCUANGGGUGGCUGCAGUCGAGAGGCUUCGGCAAUGGGGGAAACCCUGACCGAGCGACGCCGCGUGCGUGAUGAAGGCCUUCGGGUUGUAAAGCGCUGUCGUGUGGGGCGAAGGAUUUUACGGCGAACAGUCGUAGAGUCUCGACGGUACCACAGAAGGAAGCUCCGGCUAACUCCGUGCCAGCAGCCGCGGUAAUACGGGAGGAGCGAACGUUGUUCGGAAUCACUGGGCGUAAAGGGCGCGUAGGCGGCUUCGUAAGUGAGAUGUGAAAGCCCCUGGCUCAACCAGGGAAAUGCGUCUCAUACUGCGGGGCUUGAGUGCAGGAGAGGAUGGGGGAAUUCCCGGUGUAGCGGUGAAAUGCAUUGAUAUCGGGAGGAACACCAGUGGCGAAGGCGCCCAUCUGGCCUGUUACUGACGCUGAGGCGCGAAAGCCGGGGGAGCAAACAGGAUUAGAUACCCUGNUANUC